GUGCUCACUUCAGCAAUACAUAUACUAAAAUUAAAACAAUACAGAGAUUUGUGUGGCCCGUGUGCAAGGAUGACAUGCAAAUUCAUGAAGCAUUCCAUAUUUUU
Cercocebus atys (sooty mangabey) is the source of this 104-nucleotide small nuclear RNA. The record is from Ensembl. Lineage: Eukaryota; Metazoa; Chordata; Mammalia; Primates; Cercopithecidae.